UGGGGAAUAUUGCACAAUGGAGGGAACUCUGAUGCAGCGACGCCGCGAGAACGAAGAAGGCUUUCGAGUCGUAAAGUUCUUUUAUAUGGGAAGAUAAUGACGGUACCAUAAGAAAAAGCCCCGGCUAACUACGUGCCAGCAGCCGCGGUAAUACGUAGGGGGCUAGCGUUGUCCGGAAUCACUGGGCGUAAAGGGUUCGCAGGCGGAAAUGCAAGUCAGGUGUAAAAGGCAGUAGCUUAACUACUGUAAGCAUUUGAAACUGCAUAUCUUGAGAAGAGUAGAGGUAAGUGGAAUUUUUAGUGUAGCGGUGAAAUGCGUAGAUAUUAAAAAGAAUACCGGUGGCGAAGGCGACUUACUGGGCUCAUUCUGACGCUGAGGAACGAAAGCGUGGGUAGCAAACAGG
This 403-nucleotide ribosomal RNA is filed under the name bacterium. Its description in RNAcentral is "partial 16S ribosomal RNA". It matches the Rfam family "Bacterial small subunit ribosomal RNA", at positions 355 to 776 of the family's 1533-position model. The record is from RNAcentral.